This 359-nucleotide transfer-messenger RNA is filed under the name Methylococcaceae. RNAcentral describes it as "EFPC2 sp016925495 Standard tmRNA". It matches the Rfam family "transfer-messenger RNA". Rfam says of the family: Bacterial tmRNA, also known as 10Sa RNA or SsrA, is named for its dual tRNA and mRNA-like properties. Its role is to liberate the mRNA from a stalled ribosome. To accomplish this part of the tmRNA is used as a reading frame that ends in a translation stop signal. The record is from RNAcentral. RNAcentral also lists the same sequence under 1 other name. Lineage: Bacteria; Pseudomonadati; Pseudomonadota; Gammaproteobacteria; Methylococcales.
GGGGGCGACAUGGCUUCGACGUGGAUCGCGAAACCCGAGGUGCAUGCCGAGGUGCAGAGGACCUCGUAAAACCAUCUGCAAACAACAUAGUUGCCAACGACGACAACUACGCUCUAGCUGCUUAAGUCAGCUAGCCUUCGGCCGGUAGCCCGCUUAUAGGCGACCGGUACCGGGGGUAACCCAAUUGUAAGCUCGCGCAGAGGCUCGUCCGGGGCCAAAGCGCUAAACAACACCGGAACCGCCGUAUGUCUUCCCUGCCGCUCGGGCAGUGUACGGUUAAAUCAAUAGAGUCGGAUACGCAUGUAGAGCCAACGGCAGAGGAUUUGCGGACGCGGGUUCAAUCCCCGCCGCCUCCACCA